UUUGAUGUGGCAGAUUCACUCAAUCUAUAUAAGACAAUAUGAUUUGUUUCAUUGUAGUAUAAUUAGCAACCAUUCGUGGACCUCCAUCAUCAACAUCUAGACUUGGUCUCCACCUACUCAACACUCCCGGCCAGCAUGACACGUGGAAGGUAGCCAAAGGUAACCAUGAACCUAUAAAAGGCUCCUCAAUCACAUCACUAAGAUAAUCAUCUCUCAAAUAGACCAUUCAUAUUCCAAACUAUAUAUCUAUAGUCCAUACUAAGCAAUACGCUCAUGAGAGGUCUCAUCUCACAAAGGGCACAUGCCAUGAUACUUCCUAUCUCUCGUCUCUUCUAUACGUUUGUAUCCCUCUCACGCACUUUGUUUCUAUCCUUCUGUGUCCGCAUAGCUAAGCGCCCUACAAUAAAGAAGACACUUUCAACCGACUUUCCAAUCGAACUACACUUGAUUGACCCAGCCGAUCCGCCACCUUCUUUAAAAUUGUAACGGAUAAUAAUUAUUAUUCAUUCAUGUAUUAUAAUUUUAUAAUUGAAGAUAGUAAAAAUAAAUAAAAAUUGAUUAUACAUAUACACACAAAUUAUAUGUAUAUAUCGUACUCUAUAAAAAAAGGACGUUCAACACCUAGUCAAAUUGUUGGGCAUGAGUCAUGACUCUCUAUCUCCUAUGGAUCUCUCUCUAUUUUGUUCUCUUUGAAUGCCUCUAUUUUCUCCUUAGUGGAUCCUAUCUCCUCCUCUCAUGUGGAGCCUUUUCCUUACACUUAUGAAGAAACCCAGAGACAUGAAUGCAAAAUUCAUCCUAGUACCAAACACAUAUAACAUAUAUAAAUCCAACAAUGAACAAUAUCCAACCCCCAAAACCCCAAAUUCGGGUGCCCCUGUAUUAUGGUGAUGGCAUUCAAUGCAAAAAAAAAAGAAUAGGAAGAGUAAAUAUGAGAAAGAAGAAGGCAAGCAUUAACUGCAAAUCCAAACCUGUUAAGGCCAUCAUCUACAUCCCAACUAUAAGCAACCGUAUUAAAUGCAACAUAUUCACCACCAACAACCACCUUACAAGCUAUACUCCUCCGUCAAAAGAAUAAAAAUUAAAUGAUCUUAGCACUAAAGUAUCCAGACCCCUACAUAGCCUAUACAAUCACAACUGUUGGGAACCUCAAUUCAAAAGGAAAAAAGGAGCAAGAUGGAGUAGAAAUUGCAAGAGACACUACUACUCAAUGAAUAAGGUGGAAAUAGCCAAGUACAAUUACAGAUUUGUGCUAGACCAUAUCAUUUACUACCAUGGGAAGGUGAUGUUUUUGGCACUUAACGCUCAACCAACAAGGUGGAUAUACAUCAUAUCUCAUAACUGCAACUUGUGUAAAGAAGAGAAGAGGAAGUCAGUUUAUAAAUUAAGGAAGAUGAACAAAAGGCACCUGUCUUUCUCCACUUUGACAUCUGCUCAAAAACUCUCUUCUCCUCCCCAAAAUUUAGUUUCAAUUGAGAUGGCGGAAUCCUCCUCCUCCCUUGCAGAAAACAUCAACCACUUUGAAGAUGAGUCUAACUUGUCUCUGACCCCUACUAAGAUCCAAGGUAACAUUGGAGCCUACCACCUGUUAAUAGGAAAAUUCCUCUGCCACAAAAAAAAUCAACAUGGGCAUGGUAAAAGGGGGAAUCGAAAGAGCUUGGUUAGGGAUCCAAGGAGUCCUAGUGGAGGAUGCCAAAGAUAACAAAUUCUUUUUCAGUUUCAAAUCAAAGGAGACCUUACAAGGGUGUGGGAGAGGAGGCCAUGACUUUUAUCAGAAACCACUAUGGUGGUUAAGAGGUGGGAUGGAAGAGGUCUACCGGAAGAGGCCAGAGUUGAUUCUAGCGACUUCUGGCUAUGGGUUUACAACCUCCCAGCCUCCCAUUGCAACUGGGCCAAUAUGGUCAAGAUUGGGAACCUCAUCCCAUUGACUGGGUUGGAUGGGGACAAAUGGAGCCACUACCUGAACAUGACGGUAGAGGUUGAACUCCACUCCUCCCUCUGUGGGAGCUUCAACAUGGAUCUUGAUCGAGCUGUAAAAAAAUCAAUCUUGAGUUUGAGAAGAUUCUAAAUAGAUGCAAUUUCUGCAAUAGACUCGCACAUCAAAUCGGAGAUUGCGAUUGGAAAAAAGAUGAGGGGGUGUAGAUGAAGAACAAACGAAGCCAAAGGAAAAGCUACUGACCUGGGUGAGGGCUCGAGAGGUCUGACCGGAAUAAUGAUAUUGCCGCCGUUGGGGAUCGCCCGAUCCAUCGACUCACCACCGCCGGGCUUCACUAGACUCCAGCUCCUAGGCUCCCCGAUGAAAGAGAAACACCCCCCUCCUCUCCAUGAUCAUUUUGUUAGAGGAUUCCCACUCCCCUAUGCUCCCUAUCCAAUCAGCUAUGAUAGUGGAAGCUAUCCAGUCAUUCACGCCAGAUACUGAAGAUUUCUUCUCAGGACUUGCUAAAGAGAUGAGAUUAAAUUCUAUUCCACCAAUGAAUCUUGAACUAUCUAUGAGUGAUUUAUCAGUCAGUCCGUCUCCUACUCAACUAAAGAACCCUAUUGGGCUAGGAGGAGAUAAAGAGGCUCCUAUUGCUUUUUUUAAGAAAAUGCUCUUUUAUGGCUAUCUCUUGGGCCCAUGCAACAAUGAACCCUCUAUCUUUUUGUCUGGGCAGUGACGGAUCCUCAAAUUGCCUCUAAGAAGAGAAAGACUGAGUGCGCCACUGAGUCCUCCAGGUCCAUCUCUGAAGGGGCAUCGAUGGGGAUACAUAACAUCCUUGAUUCUACUAAAUCCCUCUCUUCCUCUAGUUUUUAAAUCCCAGCAAGCAGCAAUCAGGGCUGGAGCAACAAACUCAAACUGAAAUCAAUGGGAAUCGAUAGGACGAGAGCGAAAGGUCAACGACAAGGAUCAAUUAGUAGAGAUGACGCUUUCAAAGGAAAUGAGCAAGAAACUAACCACCCUUCAACCUCAGGGGAACCUGUGGCAAGCCCAGAGCUGCCUCACCAAAAAUGAGUAUACUUUCUUGGAACUGCAGGGGAAUUGGCCCACCCUUGACAGAAGAUUACUUGUGACGUCUCGUGGGUAGGAUCAGGCUGACAACUCUCUUCUUAAUGGAAACCAAGCAUCAAGAGGCGUAUAUGGAGGAGAAGAGAGUUCUUUUGAACUUUGCCAAUGUUUUCAUAUGAAUCGGGUUGCUACGACGCGGGGUCUAAGUCUGUGGUGGAUUGCGAACUUAGACAUCACUAUCUUAAAUUUUAGCGAUGAUUUUAUCCAUGUUUAGUUUAAAUGUGAUGGUAGUUUCCUUUGUACAUUUUUCCAUGCCCCUACCAACAUUAAUAAGGGAAUGGCCUUUUAGGUUUCUGUUAGUGCUUUGAACACUAACUCGUAGGUAGCUUGGCUGAUUGUAGGUGAUUUUAACGCCGUCCUUUGUGACUAUGAGAAACAAGGGUGCAACCCAAUUCGCUAUUCCUUGGCUCUCGACUUUCGAAACUUUAUGAUGACUAACAAGAUGAUGUAGUUGGCCUAUGUUGGGGAUUAAUUCACGUGGUCUAACUGCCACGAGAAUGAAGCUACCUUGGUUAAGGAACGCUUGGAUCGUGCGAUCGGUCCUGCCCGUUGGCAAACUGAUUUCGGCGAGGCUGGGGGUUACCAUGAGCAAUGUAUUGGUCGAACUAUAGACCAUUGAAUAUAAAGUUUCACCGAAUAACUAGGAGACAAACGCUUGGAUCGUGCGAUCGGUCCUGCCCGUUGGCAAACUGAUUUCGGCGAGGCUGUAGUUUACCAUGAGCAAUGUAUUGGUCGAACUAUAGACCAUUGAAUAUAAAGUUUCACCGAAUAACUAGGAGACAACGAACUCCGUUCAGAUUUGAUGCAAGAUGGCUCCAUAAAGAAGUGUAGUGUGAUUAUUCAGGAUAAUUGUCCUAUGCACUCUCCUGUUGCUGCAAACCUCCAGUCUUGUGCCUCAAAACUCAAGCAACGGUCAAAAUAGGACCAUAAAAAGGUGCUUUCUUGGUUACCAAUAUUGAACUCAAACUGGAAGAGCUGGCUUGCUUGCCCCUCACUAGACAGAAUACUAAUGAAGGGAAAGCUUUGACUAUUAAGCUCAACAAUUUGUGAAACGAUGAGAAUAUGGCCUAGAGACAAUGGUCUAGAAUCCAAUGGGAUCGUGAAGGGGAUAGGAACACCCAUUUUUCCACUCCUCUACAAUCUACAUAAGCAAUAGAAACCAGAUUUGCUCGAUCAAGGAUGACGCGGGAAACUGGAUUUCAGAUGAGAAUGCCCUAGCGACUCAUGCCAGCAAUUUCUACCAAGAACUGUUCACAACUCUCAAUAAAGGGAUGAAUCUAAAUGCCUUUGCUGACAUCUAAUGCUUGGUGCCUCACCAAGAAAACACUGGACUAGAGGCUCCAGUGACUUAUCAAGAGAUAAAGAAUGCCGUUUUUGGGCUUGGAGCGAAUAAGUCUCUAGGCCCUGAUGGGUUCUCUAGGAUGUUCUACCAGAGGUAUUGGGGGUUUAUUGGCGAUGCGCUUUCAAAAGAGGUUAAAGGGUUUUUCGAGCUUGGGUGCAUGCCUUAGGGAUGGAACGAUACACAUAUCACCAUCAUCCCCAAGAUUCCUAUUCCUGAGUUUAUGUGCCACUUCAGGCCUAUUAGUUGUUUCAACUUUAAUUACAAGGUGAUUUAAAAAACUAUGGCCAAGCAUAUGAAGAAGUGGAUCCCUAACCUGGUGGCGAAAACGUAGGCAGCAUUUAUCGGUGGAAGGAUGAUACAAGAUAAAAUUAUUAUUGUUCAUGAACUACUUCACCAAUUCAAAAUUAAGAAGAAAUGGAAGAAAUACGAUAUGAUGUUAAAGCUCGAUAUGCGUAAGACUUUUGACUUGGUGGACUAAGACUGCCUUGACUAUCUCCUCCGCGUGUAUGGUUUUUCAGAUCGGUGGUGUCGGUGGGUUAAGGAAUGUGUUAGGACUGGGAGAUUCUCUAUCCUCUUCAAUGGCUCUCUGACUGCAUUCUUUGACCCAUCAAGGGAAAUUCGAUAGGGAGAUCCCCUCUCCCCUUUCUUGUUUAUCCUUAUGUCUAACGCUUUAUCCUUUCUAGUGGAGAACGGAAUGAUUAAUAAUGCUAUUCAUGGUAUCUGCCUGAGACCCUAGUGCCCUAAGAUCUUUCACUGCUUGUUUGUAGAUGAUUUUGUUAUUUUUGGUCCGGCUUUAGUUGGUGAAGUUGAUUCAAUAAUGCACACUCUCUCUUCUUAUGGGACCUUGACAGGGCAGGAAGUCAACGUCAUUAAACCUUUGGUCUUCUUCAGUGCUAAUACUCCAGAUGAUCGUAUGCAUGUUAUCCAAGAGCGGGCGACUUUUAAACCUAAUGUGAGCCACUCCAAGUACCUUGAAGUCCCAACUGAAUGGGGUAGAUCUAAGAAAGAAACAUUUUCUUAUCACAUUGAGAGAAUGCAAAAGCAAAGCAAGGCUGAGAAGAGUUUAAUGCUUUCUCAUGCAGGAAAAGAAACACUUAUCAAAGAUGUGGUCCAAGCAAUCCUGAGCUACAUUAUGAGCUUGUUUAAGCUCCCCAAGUUGAUUAUUAAAAGAAUGAACUCGUUCCUCAGAAAAAAAAUUGGUCCGGUUCAGCUUCCAAGCGAUAUAUCCAUUGGGUUAAUGGUUCCCAUUUGUGUGCUUCUAAAAGUGAAGGGGGCUCGGUUUCAUGGAUUUCAGUUUCUUCAAUUAUCCCCUUCUUGUUAAGCAGGGAUAGCGGCUCAUUAACAAUCCUAACACCACUUGGGCACAGGUGCUUAAGGGCUUGUACUUCCGGAAUGGGAGUUGUCUUACAGCAAAUAAGGGUCGCAGAAGCUCAUGGAUUUGGCAAAGCCUUUGUGAUGCACUCAAAACGUUGGGUCUUAGAGCUGUUAGAGUGAUCGGUUCGGGCAGGGAUACGCUCGUUAACACCGAUCCUUCGGUCCCGAGCUUCCCCGACUUCAAACUCUCGUCUAGCCAUGAUGAUCUUUUGCUUGUUAGUGACCUUGUUGACCAAUCCACCCGCAAAUGGAAAGGUGAUUUAAUUCAAGAGUUCAGCAGCGAUUCUCAGGAUUCCGAUUGGUCCUCCAAAUUUCGAUGAUUUCUGGGCUUGGAGCUUUGAGGCGACAUGGAGGUUCUUCGUUCGGUCUGCGUACCAUGUGACGCGGUGGAAUGAAGAAGUUGUUAUCCAUAACGUCGUAGUUAAUCGAAGAGAAUUGUGGAAAUGGCUCUGGAACCUCUCGGUUCCUCCGAAUAUCCGUUUUUUCUUAUGGAGAAUCUCAUCCAACGCUCUUGCUAUGAGAACUAACCUGAUGUUGAGAAAGUGUGCAACGUGGCCUACCUGCCCUAUGUCUGACCAGGAAGAAACCAUUUUCACUGUCUCUUUGAUUGUAACCAUGCUAGGCUUACCUGGCUCAUGUUUCCUAAUAUCCUUACCCUGCUUCGGAUGCUUCGAUCUUUGAUUGGUUUGCUAGUUUCACAGGGGACCGUUUAAAGGCCACGUACUCAGCAGCUAUUUGCUGGCAGAUUUGAAAGGCGAGUAACGCUCUUGUUUUCAACAAUUCCCGGCCGGUCGACCACAUCACAACCUCUUGGAGCUGUAAGGAUAUGGAUGAAUGGAGAAUCGCUUGGGGAAACAUCUCCACACUUUGACUGCUUGCUCUAUUCCCAGUCAUUAUACUCCAGACACACCGCCUAGUAAUCCCCUCCGGGUGAUUCACUGUGAUGGAUCAUUUUACAUGAUUCCUAGUCGCCAGCUUAUGGCAUUACUAUUUCUGAUGUCCAUGGUUUUGUUUACGAUGGCAGAGUUGGGCAUGCGUUUCUUCGCCAGUGGCAGCAGAGGCUAGUGCAAUUCAAUAUGUGGUGGAGUAUGCUGUGCAACACGAGAGUCACUCCAAUGUUCUAUCGGAUUGCCAAAUGUUGGUCAAUAUACUCAAUGAUGGGACAAACCAUUAGCCAUGGGAGUGUGCUUCAACGAUUGCUAACAUUUGCAAGGCUCUCAUCAAUGAUCGAUGGAUAAAGCUCAACUUCAUCCCGUGUAAUACGAACGGCCGUGCGGAUUGGGUAGUGACAGAAUUCAUUCAUGGGCGGCUGCCUACGAAUUGGAUCGAUCAUAUCAAUUCCAUCUCGACUUCUAUGUAAUAUUGUUUUCAAUGCUUGUACUCUGCUUGCCACCUCCUUUCCGGGGGGAGUUACAUAUAUAUGAUAAUCUUCUCAAAAAAAAAAGUGAUGACUCUCUCUCUCUCUCUCUCUCUGUCUGUGAUGAGCUAUUGCGUGACUGUUCAUAUAAACCAACGAGUCACAGGCAACAGCCUAACUUAUCCAAUCACAAAAUGCCAAACCAUCCCUUAAAAAAAAGAAUCUUCCAAAUAUAACGUCCACUUAGUUUAUUUUUUAUUAUUAUUUUAUCAGAGACUAGGCCUCACAAGGUGUACAGUGGAGUCGACCACACCCUACACACAACUCCUUCCCUUUCCUUCCUACCAACACCAUAUUCCUCUCUCCUGUCCUUGAGCAGAAAACAGCUCAAGAUCAGUGUGUAAUUUACAGCCUGUUUCUUCACCCCCCUCCUCAAUUCGCCAUUUAUUAUUUCCUUUAUUAUUAUUAUCAUCACCACAUCUCCCCUUCCUAUAUUUUGAUUCCAUUCUCCAACUCUUUCUUCUUCAAUUCCCUUCUCCGGCGCCCACUAAUUCCUUCUCCGGUAGAAUCCUUUGACGAACCCAAAACAAUGGAUCCGUGCCCUUUCGUGCGGAUCCUCGUCGGCAAUUUAGCCCUCAAGUUCCCCGCCUCCGUCGAUGCUUCCGAAUCGUCUUCCACUUCCCUUGCUAUGAUCAAGUUCAAGGGUUUCUCUACCCAGCUAGCUACUAUCCCAGUCGUACUCGAACAGGACGAUCUCCUCCGCCGCCGACACCAUCUCCAUCACCACCGCCACCGCAACUCCUCUCUCCAGUCCUCCGCUUCCUCUGCCUCCGCUGCUUCCUCUUCCUCCAAUCCAAACUCCUGUAGUAAUUCACUUGCGGCCUGCUUCAAUCUCGAUAAGAACCAGAUCGAUAAAUUCGUCCGCUCCUCCACUAAGAAGUCCAGUAGCAGUUUGACUGUCGAGAUUUAUGCCAGUGAGGAUGCGGACGUGCCUGCGUCUUCUUCGUCUUCCGCCGCUGCCUGUUGUUUCUCCAGGCGUAAGUUGAUCGGGACGGUGGUUGUACCCCUCGACCUCCUCAAGGCCGAGUUUCGUCCCGCAGUGAUGCAUAACGGUUGGGUACCGAUUGCUGCAAGGAAGAAAGGAGCGGAGCCGGCUCAAUUCUUUCUCAAUGUUCGGGUCGAGCCUGACCCGAGAUACGUUUUCCAAUUCGAAUCGGAUCCGGUUUGCAGCCCUCAAGUGUUUCAGGUUCAAGGAAACGUCAAGCAAGCCGUGUUCACUUGCAAGUUCAAUUUGAGAAACCAGGGAGAUCGAAGCUUAGUCUCACGGUAGGUUUUGUUUCCUGUUUUUAGCUUACCUUUUCCUGUUUGGAUGUUGAGAAAUUAGGUUACAAAUUUUAAUCCAGAUCACUGAUUUUUUUUUCUUCCUCUGUUCCAAUUGAAUGUUCAGGCAAUCAAUGUCGGGCUCGAGCACGCCGAGAAGUUUCCUGCCCUGCGGUGGCGGAGACGGAGGAAGCGAUACGAAAGACCAAUUCACCAAAGAGAGGAAAGGUUGGACAAUUACAAUCCAUGACCUAUCCGGUUCUCCAGUGGCAAUGGCGUCAAUGGUAACACCGUUUGUGCCUUCCCCUGGUUCCGAUCGGGUCAGCCGAUCGAAUCCAGGAGCCUGGCUGAUUCUCCGACCGUCAUCAGGCACCUGGAAAUCCUGGGGACGACUCGAGGCUUGGAGAGAAGCCCGCAAACAUCUGGGAUACCGCUUCGACCUUCUCCACGACGGGAUCACCGCUACACCGACCACCUCCACGCUCGUAAACUCCGUCGUUAACACGAAAGGCCGAGGGAAAUUCAACAUCGACAUGACCGGGGUAGGUGCAACUCCGGUAUGCAGCCCACACAGCAGUUGUGAUUUCGGGUCGGGAUCUGGAUCAUGGUCCGGGUCGGAGAUCGGGUUGGGGAUGUUGACCCAGCCGAUGUACAAAGGGUUCGUGAUGUCGUCGACGGUGGACGGGAAAGGAGGACAGCCGGAGGUGGAAUUGGGGAUCCAGCACGUGAACUGCACGGAGGACGCGGCGGCGUUCGUUGCGCUGGCGGCAGCGGUGGAUCUGAGCAGAGAAGCCUGCCGGGUAUUUCCUCGGAAGCUAAGGAAAGGGUUGAGCUUGUGACAGCUGAGCUGAGUCAGUAAUUUCUUUCUUGUUUUUGUUUUUUUGUCGUUUAAUUUGGAAAGGGUUGUCGUUUUUGUCACAACUUACAGCAGUUUGUGAGCUGGAUUGUACAUGCUGAGAGAGGUUAAAAAAGCGAUUUGUAUUGAGAAAUUUUGUACAGUGCGGAAUGAGAGAGAAACGUUUUUCUUAAUUUAUUAUUGGUUUCUUUAUUUUUUUUCUGGAUGAGAAUCCAAUGCAUGCAGCUAGCAAUGACGUGGCAUUAUGCCUCUACCAUACAUGUAAAAGAAAACAAAGCUCAUACGUAAUAGUUGUCCGUCCACUUAUGGUGAAUUCAACAUGUCAUUAAUUAGCUUAUUAGUUAUACAAUUUGAAGUUGAAUGAGCCUUAACAAAUCCAAUCUGACAUAUUCUUAAUGGACAUUUGAUCAGAAUACUGUAAUUUAAUCUACAAAUAUUUGAAUGGUUAUGGUGUGAUGAAUAGGUUGGUGAAAUUUUCUCACUAUACAGUUAGCUUAUUUCGUCCUGGAGAUGAGGCGGACAAACGGCUAGCUACAGUCAUGGCGCAAUUUCAAGGGCAUACGACAUUGAAAUCAUUCAUAUCUACAAAAGGGCAAUCAUGCACUUGAAGCUAGAGCAUUCCGCACGAGAUGUCUAUAAGCAUACACCAUCAUACUAGGCUUUGAUCUAAAUUAAAUUCAUGUGUUGUGUUUUCAGUGUUUUAUAAACUCAUUUUAUUAACAACAAAAAAGACAGGACACUGUGUCAAAUUUUGUUUAUAUAAACACAAUCCCAAAAGGCCAAAAGAUUAGUAAAGAAAAAGAUUACAAAAGGUGGCAUAACGAAAGUAAGCGUUUGAACGAUAUAUUAGGGAUUUUGACGAUCAAACUUGUUAGUUAGGCGGGGAAGAAGAAAUGGAAUCGAUUGGGGGGAAAUAGUUACAAUCCAUUCUCAAUCAAAAGAAAUAAUAAUAAUAAUNNNNNNNNNNNNNNNNNNNNNNNNNNNNNNNNNNNNNNNNNNNNNNNNNNNNNNNNNNNNNNNNNNNNNNNNNNNNNNNNNNNNNNNNNNNNNNNNNNNNNNNNNNNNNNNNNNNNNNNNNUGAAAUUUUAUUUAUUGUUUAAGAUUUAAAAUAUAAUAAUAAGUAUUUAGAAUCUAAUUAAGGACUUUAUAAUUAAAAAAAUUUAAUUUAUAAUAAAAAAUCAAAAUUUGGAGAUCCAGAAAUUGUAUAGAGAGUACACGAGCAGAGAGGGGAAGAAAAACAAUUAUAUAUAGAGCACACACCAGACCUGCCCAAGCAACAUCAGGCCAGCCCUCAACAUUUACAACACUAUAUAAACAAGUAGAAAAAAAUUUAAUACGUAAAUCGAAAAAAACUGGUAUGCUGAAAUAAAUACAUUAAAUAAAUUGAAGUACAACACUUAAAAACAAGUAUUAAGAAAUAAGCAAUGGGGAUUAGCAUUUAGCAAAAGAAUAAUAAUGGUGAUCUUAUACAAUUUUCAAAUGAUUAUUUAUUAUCAAAAUAGAGCAUUAAUGGAGCUGAUGUGUCGGCCCAAGCCCCAAGGGGGUUUUCUUGUUGUUGUUGUUGUUGUUGUUGUCAACCCUGAAGUUAGGUUGUGUUACGUGUAUGUGUUCAUUUUAAUUUGAAUUAAUCACCGUUAACAAUAAUGCUAUUUAUUAAUUAUUAACUCUCCUGGUUAACUGUGGGAUAUUUUACCAUCAUGUAAAACUGAAAUGAUUGCUCUUUAACCAAACUAGGCAAGUGGCCGUAUGUAGACUAGACAAAUCUUCGUCUGCGAUUUUCAACACUUAUGUUGUCGGAGCUCUGUUUAGGGGCUCCUGACCUCCCCUUCCUUUACUCUUUCUUAUAUAUGAUUAUAACUGUUAGAAAAGCUCGCCGGAAAAUGUUAUCAUAGAUUUGUCGGGCGGCAGGUGACUGGAUUUGUCAUAUUUGCCCUCUCCGAUUUGACUAUCAAGUAUAAAUCUUUGGAUUAUAUCGAGUUGGAGAUGUAACUUGUAACUAUCUUCAUGUUGGUCGGGGUGGCUUGGGGUUCCGGCUCACUCCAGUUUCGGUUCGAACCAUUAAUUUUGGGUACAUAUUUACAACGUUUACGAGUUCGGCUAAGGGAAAUUUUGAGUUCUCCUCAGUGUUUGGUCGUGUCAUAACUAAAACCAGUGAGAGUCACGACUAUCUUGUUUUUUGGUCUCGAAUAUUAAAUUAUAUGUAAAAUUUUAAUGAUUUCAUAACUUGGCUAAUAGUAUUUGAAGUGAUGCGUAAGAUAAUAAACCCGACAAUGGCACAUAUAUCAUAUUUUAAACUAAAAGUAGUACAAUGAAUUUAUUUUUAUUUUAAAUUAGUAUUAGGAUUAAUCCAUCAAUUAAUUACUCAAUACACAUAUAAAAUUUCGAUUCAAAUCCGACUCAGUGCAUUUUUCCAUUAUGAUUCUGCCAUGAUGAUGGUUCAGGUUUGUUGAGAUCGAGAUGUUAGUUAGUUGAAGCUUUUUACUUCUGGUUUUCCUCAUGGACAUGGUCGAUCAAGUGCUUUUGAAUGAACUUUAGCAUGGCUCGUAGUUAUAUUAUUUUCGGUUCAAAGAGUGAUUGAUUUGAUUCAUUAUCGGCACUUUGUUGUGUUGAUUGGACUUGGUUAGCCAUUAGACUAUGGGUUAUGGCUUUUGUGGAGUAGUGUUAUUAUUAUGUAACAUCAUAUUUUCCUAUUCAGUCAUUUAUUUAAACUUUUACGAAUCUCUUUGCAUUCAAAUUUGAUUUUUUAGUGUUCCUUAAUAUUACUUAAGUUGACCCAAAGUUUGAGCGUUUUAAGAAUAUUCUUCUGCACUUACUUCUUUAUCUCACAAGCCACCUUUCAAGCCAUAUUUAAAUGGAGAUUCUUCUCUUCUUUGGUGUACUGCUUCUACAUUCUGUUGUUGUGUCCUUGACUAUCCUCCCUAUGCAGAUUUACAAGAUUUAAUGCUUGUGGACAAAAAAAGAGAUCGGGCUUCCUUUGAGGAUACAGAUGAUGGAGCGGAUUUGGCUACUACUCCAAAGAAGCAACUAUUGGCUUCACCGCUGACAAUGGAUGACUUCCCACCACAUGCUUUAAACCUUGAAAUGCUUCCAGAUGAUAUGCUUGAUGAGGAUCUAGAUAUGAUCAUGUGUCGGCAACCUUGUCUACUUCGACGGUGGUAAAGGCCCACCUAGAGAGGCCCGACUCGAUCAAAUGGGCAUUCUCGCAUGGAACUACUGAGGGUUGGGUGGUUCCCUCAUCAAUGACACUUUCUGCAAUCUCAACAACCGCUAUCAUCCUCGUUUUCUCUUCCUUUCGGAGACUAAAUCUACCUCUGAUGGUGUGAAUCGCUUGUUUCAUUCCUUAAACUUCCCCCGUUCUAAUAAGGUUGUAGUAGAUUGUAGUUCUGAUUUUGUGGGAGGCCUUGCCUUAGACUAGCAUCCUGAUUGUAGUUUAGAUGUUGUUGAUCCAUCUACUUUCUGUAUUGAAGCUACAACUCUAUUUCAUAAUAAUGCCAAAGUCUUAUUAUUGGGUGUUUACCUUUCAUGUUACCCCUCCAUUCGUGCUACUCAAUUUGAUCAAUUAUCGAAGCUUAUUUGAUCUGUCGAUUUUCCAACGUUUGUGUUUGAUGAUUUUAAUGUACUAUGCUCUUCUUUUGAGAAAUCGCGAAUUCUGCCUAUCCGACAACAUCCCGUGGCUUGAUUUCGAACCUUUAUCAGUGAUUUAGGUCUAUAUGACCCUUGUUUUUUAGGACCAUCGUUUACUUUGUUUAAUCGGAGUCACACUAUGAAUCUUCUUGUACAAUGUAGAUUGGAUCGGUUCUUAUUUUUGGAUGCUCUCAUUUCUCAAUUUCCUAAUGUUUCAGCUCUCACCUUACUUAUUUUGGCUCUGACCAUCGAUCAAUUCUUCUUGAACUGUCACCGGAUCUAUCACGUCAAGUGUGAAACCCCGAUUUUGGGUUAAUUAUUGUUUUUGGGUUUUGUUCGGUUUCUCCGUGUUCUCUAGAAAAAGGUUUUCCGGAGGAUCAUCACGGGCGUGACUGGCAGUCUGUCACAGGCAUGAUCACCAGGUAGAUCACGAUCGUGGUUAGUGGUAGUCAUGAUUGUGCUGACAGGAGAAUCACGGCCAUGACCAACAGUAGGCCACAUGCGUGGUAGUCAUGUCAACAUGGGAGUGGUGGCCAGUAGGCCACAUGCAUGGUGGAUCGUGUAUAAAAUCAGAGUCGCGAUUCAAGAAGUUUAGAAUUGCCAAAACCUAAUUUUUGCAAUAUCACUGUCAAGCGGUGAUUGCUCCCGGGAAGAGGGGAGGACCUUGUUGAUCGAUCCCACACCGGUAGGAGAGGUUUGGAGAUUGUUGAGGAAGUUUCAGUAGGUCUUUUGGAUCGACGAUCGAGCUCUAGGGAGACGGUUUCAUAUCAGACUCUUCAGAGGAAAGCUCUCAGAUGUAGGGGUUAGGAUUACUUUUCUGCUUUAUGCGAAGAACUGUAAUUUAGUUGUCAGAAAUCUUUGAAUGGAAUUUCAAGACUGUAUAGUAGCGUGCGAUAUACUGUACAUGUUUUAUGAUUAUAGAGCCGAGCUCUCAGGCCGUACGGUGCCGUGUGAUCUAUUGCACAUACUGUUAUUAUUUAAGCUUAGUUUCUCACAGAUGAACGGUGGUGCAUGAUCCACAGUUCCUAAUAGUUCAGUCAGGAUAGACCUACUAGGUUAGUACAUGACUACAAUACGUCGGUCACCCACCUCAUGGAUUAUGCAAUCCCCCAGGUUACUGUCAGAUUCAGGCAGAUGUGACGAGCAAGCCUUUGAGCUAGUCUCAUGAUUCUUCAAGGUGGUCUAAUAGUCUGAUCCACCAUGAGGCUAUCUGCUCUUAGCUAGGGGUGGCUGGCGAUAGGAUGACUUGAGUAGGAUCGCAUGGUCACAUUAUUAGUUUCAGCGUUUCGAUAGACUUCUUGUUGUAUCUCCAGUGAAGGCCAGUGCAGGCGCAGUCACAUCUUCGUUCAGUUUUAGUUCAUCUCUUUACUUGUUUAGUCACUCGAUGCUUAUCACUAAUCCCGUUAGAUAUUAUUUUUCUUGGUGUAUUUGUGUGAUCAGUCACAGGUACUGGAGUUGAUGGUGGAGAGAGAGUUGGUUGGGAUUUUGAUGUCUUUGAUAUCGUUUUGAUGUAUUUUCAUACUAAAGUUGUAUCUCCUUUUGACUUGUUAUGUUUUGGAUUCGGGAUCCGAAUUGGUGGGUUUAUUUAAGUAUUUCAGUUCAGUUUUUAAUGCUUGUAUUUAAUGUUUGGAUAGUACAUUAGAGUAGAGUUCUGGUUCAGGUUGAGACCCGAGUAGGACUCUUCGGUUGAACCAGUGGUUCGACCGAAACUCAUUGAGUGGGGUUCACAUCAAGGGCCUCUAUGUUUUAAAUUUGAUAAUCAAUGGCUUUCAAAUGAGGAAUUACCAGCUAUAGUUUCGGCUGCUUGGUUGAUUCCCGUUCAAGGAUCUCAGCUGUUUAUUCUUCACUCGAAACUUAAGCUGGGAACUUAGCACGCCUCGCAACGAUCAGGUAUUACGAACUUAGCACGCCAAAUCAGACUUCUUAAAGAUGCAAUUUCAGAGCUCCAAAAUCAUAUCCAAGUACUUUGGGAUCCAAUAUGCCCGGUUUGUGGAUCAACAAACGAAUCCUUAGUUCAUUUCCCAUUUUCUGCCAUGUUAGUGUUCAACUGGUGCACCUUUUGGUCAAUCAACACCCGACAUUUUUUUGGCAACAAGUCUGUAGUUCGGAUUCUUUUCUGACAAUUAAAUUGGUCUACUUUUGGUGGCGACUUUGGAAAUCAAGGAAUUGUGUAGUCUUCAAUCAUUACCAGCAAUCUAUCUCUUCUCUCCGACGUCGAUUUCCUCUCCACUGGUCCGAAGGUGCUCGGUGGGCGACCUCAACCCGAACGGUGAGAACAGGAAUUGAUAUGAUAUCUCAUUCACGGAGAUUGGAGGCAAUAACGCAUUCCUUGAGUUUUAAUGUUGACGCAGCUGUGCAAAUGAGUUCCAGCGAUGGUAAUCAGAUUGGUUUUGGUGCAAUUGGUAUGGUUCUUUGAAGAGCAUGCAGAUCUCUGGUGUCAGCAACAGGAUGUGUAAUACCUUACGGACUCCCUAAUCUUAGAAUUUAUGCAUGUUCGUUAUGCCUUGUUAGCAGCUCGUCCGAGGCUUCAUGAGCAGAUUAACAUUUAUUUAUAUUCGUUAGAGGCAGUCCGUUUAAUCACAGGCGUUGAUGACGACAUCCGCACUGGUCAACUACUUCAAGAAUGCAAGAAUCUUUUCAGCACUUCUCUUCGAUCUCUCUCCAGUAUGUCCCUCGUAAUGGUAACUGCGCCGCCCAUUCAGUGGCACGUGAGCCUCAUCGUUAUCCUUCGAGUUGACGUCCUCUCUCACUUGCUUAUUGUAUCCCAUCUUCCUAGUGUAUCCUCUACUUAUGUAAUUUGUAUUUCCUUUUUAACGUUGUGUAUCAACCCCAAUACCUCUGAAUAAAAAAAACGAUAUCGGGCCGACCCUGAACUGGACUUUAAACCCUAAUUUAUUCCGGACAAAAAUUAAUUUGUAAAAGACUAGAAUACCCCAGCAUUUAUUUGAAAGACAAAAGUUGAAAUUGAUCCAACGGUCCACGUGAAUCCUUGAAAUUCUUGACCAUAUACCAUUCUUGAUAAAAUCUGUCCUAACUUUCUACUUACAGGCACGAGCCUGGCCCAAGUUUUGAUCCGAGUAGUUCAUUAAAUAAUAUAGGCUUUGGCUGAGCUAGUUUCUAUUUGCCGGCUUGACGAGUGAUCUUUGAGUUCUGUCCAAGAGAACUUAUCAAAUCCCUAUUCAACCCUAAGGACCAAUUUACCCACCACUUGAACGUUUUAGGUAUUUUUCUUUUACGGGGAAUCUAUAGAAUUAUGAUUGAUUACUAAUAGAAAUUACAUUAUCAAUUAUAAAUUGAUCCACUGAAAAAAUAAGAGGUCCAUUUAUCUAAAUAAUUAGACUACGACAAAGUAUAAAGUAUGAAGCUAUGAGUCAUGAUAUGAAUAGCCAUAUUAACUUUUCGAGAUCAUCCUCUAAUUUGAAUUGCCCCUAAUUUAAUCCCAGUCCAACUUUAAUCUUGCAGAUGUUGUGUAGCUUUCUCAUUUGAGGGCUCUUUUUGUAGACAUCGUGAUUUUGGAAAUAUAAAUUUGGAAUUUUAUUAAACAAAAUAAUCAAUGAAUUUUUGGAAAAUUAAUAUCAGUAAGUUGUAUGAAAAAAAAUUAAAAACAGGCCAAAAUAUUAAGUAAAUUGUCAAAUGUAGUUUGAAUUAUUUAAAAAUUUGGAUUUUUCUAUUAAUGGAGUUUCGCCAAAUUUUUCAUCCAAAUUAACGAAACACUCAAACACCCUAACUAACGUACCCGUUGAUGUGGAAAUUAAAUACCAUUUAAAAUUAAAAUAAGGAAAAAUUCAAAAUAAAUAAAUGAAUAAUGAAGACAAAUAAUUUUUCAUCAAAGACCUCUUGCUCGUCCCUCCUGCAAUAGUUGCAGGUUCAACAAGUAAUCACAUUCGUCCAGUAUAAUUCUUCAUCUUCAUUCUAAUUUGGUUUCCAUAAAAACUAAUUUUUAAUCAUACAAAAUAGCAAAACGUAUCUAAAUAAAUCAUAAAGAUUGCAAAUCAAAUCUAAAUAAUUCUGCCGGCGAUUGACCUAGAAUCGAGUGAAACGCCGACAAUUGAUCUAGAAUCUGAUUGGCCAGAGAUUGGAAAGGCUUCGUAAUUCCGAUGACGAUUGUUGCCAAUUUUGUUGAAGAUGAAGAUGGGCCUGGAGAUAGAAACGAGACACAUGAUGAAGCUGCAAAGAGAGUGAAGGAUAGAUCCAAACCUUUAAAAUGUUAGUCUCGAGGGGUCGCCGUUGCAGUCACGGCCUUUUCGACCAGUGGAAAGAUGGAGUGGCGGUGGGGUUGAGUGAUGGAGGUGAGAUUUGGGUUGAGGUUUGGAUUAGAGUUAGUGGGUGGCCGCUGCGGGAAGGGCGGAGAAGGUAGAUUAGGGAUUUUUUUGUUGUUGUUCAUAGUUCUAAAUUUGUAAAGAAAUGAUGACUUGGCAUUUAGUAUACUUAAAUUCCCGAUGUGGCAUUAGAUGCAGUAUUAAUUUGACGUUAGUAUCAUAUUAGCUCUGUCUGUUUGGUUAUUAACGAUGUUAAAAAUUUAAUGAAAAUUUUGGUCAACAUACUAAAAUUGAUAGACGAUUGAAAGUAAUGAUCAAAAAAUUAUAAUAUAUAUAAUUUGGAUUAAAUUUUACAACUGAAUUAAAAUUUUGGAUAUUUUUAUGAAUGGUGAAAGUGAGAGAAGUUUGGAGAAAAAUAGUGAAAAUGAGAAACGUACAUGGGAAAUGUCUCCUAUUUUAUCCACUUUGUCAUAUGUUAAUGGUGACAAGUUCUGUUUAUAUAGUCUAUUUGGAUAAGCCUAUUGUAGCCUAAUCAUUGGUUGUAGAGAGUAUUGUUAGGCGAUCUGUGCGUUAGAAUUGUGGCGGUUCUUUUAAAAUUAGGGUAAUCUCUGAAUACACUUUCUUUUUCGAUGGGACUAUUGGUAGGCAGUCAUAGAGGUCACGAGGCCCGUUCUUAAAGGUGAAAGGCCCAUUUUCCUUGGUCACAAACCAUACAGGCGACUCCAUUCCGGCUAUUGGGUAUGUCGAGCAAUUUAGACCGAAACGAUGCAUUGACUCGAACCAAAAUGGCCCAUCAGAUUUGGACGAUGCCAUUAGACUAAAAUCGAACACAAAUCCUAAAUCGAGUCGAAUUUAAACAGUAUAAAUGAUAGAGGUUCUAAUACAAAAUUUUUAUUAUUAUGGCAAACGCUUUACUAUCCGAAACCACAUGAUGUAAUAUUAUUAAUUGAAUUUUAAUUAAUUGAAACAUGAACAUUUAACACUUAAAGUAUAAACAAUUUACAAUUACAUCACUAUUAUGUUUACGUCAUUAUCCCGUUAACGAAAUUAACUUCAAUUAUCUUCCAUUACCUGUCUGUUUGGAAAAGAAAAAUCGACUCCACAUUUAAUUUUUUCAUUCUUUUUCCAUCAUCUGAUCAAAUAUUUCCUUCAAACAAAAUUUACAAAAUAUAAAAAAAUCUUGAUUAAUCCUAAUCCGAAUCAAACCUAACCAAAAGAUUCACCCAAUGAUUAACCUAAUCAGAAAGAAAAACCCUGCAUCUGUCAUCUUCCAAAAGCGCCGCCGCCGUAGAUUCCAAAAUCGGCAGACCUCAUCUAAGAUUCAGAAUCUAUCAUCGUCCGAAAACGCAGCCGCCGUAGAUUCCAAAAUCGUCAAUGGCCCAGCUUUCGUCUUUGCGAAGGCCACUUCUCCUUCUCAAAAUGGAAGGUUGUAACCAUAUCUGAAUUGAAGGUUGCUUUAGAGUAAAAGGGAUAUUUGAAUUGCUAUGGCAAUCAAAAGAAGAAAGCUUCAAUUUCAAUCCGAAAUCAAAUUUGAUGAUCGAAUGUCAUGUGAGAAGACAAAGUUCAUCUAUACAAAAUUACACAUUUUAUUUAUCAGGUAAAAAGGUUGAGAUAUGAAAUUUGGAAAACAAUAAAGUGCAAUAUCAAAUUAUUAUAGAGGUUGUGUAAACCGUGUUAAGUUGGAUUUGUUGAUAAUUUUGUUUUUGAAAGAUUGAAUGAUUAAAUCGUACGAUAAGUCUAAACUUAAACAUUCUAAAAGAAAAAUGUGUACAUUAAUUAUACUAGAUAUUGUUUGGCAUGUUGGCUGAUUUGAGAUUUUUUUUCUCUUAUUUAUUAUUUACAAAUUAAAUAAAUCAAUUAAUAGUUUUUUAACCUGUCAACUGANNNNNNNNNNNNNNNNNNNNNNNNNNNNNNNNNNNNNNNNNNNNNNNNNNNNNNNNNNNNNNNNNNNNNNNNNNNNNNNNNNNNNNNNNNNNNNNNNNNNNNNNNNNNNNNNNNNNNNNNNNNNNNNNNNNNNNNNNNNNNNNNNNNNNNNNNNNNNNNNNNNNNNNNNNNNNNNNNNNNNNNNNNNNNNNNNNNNNNNNNNNNNNNNNNNNNNNNNNNNNNNNNNNNNNNNNNNNNNNNNNNNNNNNNNNNNNNNNNNNNNNNNNNNNNNNNNNNNNNNNNNNNNNNNNNNNNNNNNNNNNNNNNNNNNNNNNNNNNNNNNNNNNNNNNNNNNNNNNNNNNNNNNNNNNNNNNNNNNNNNNNNNNNNNNNNNNNNNNNNNNNNNNNNNNNNNNNNNNNNNNNNNNNNNNNNNNNNNNNNNNNNNNNNNNNNNNNNNNNNNNNNNNNNNNNNNNNNNNNNNNNNNNNNNNNNNNNNNNNNNNNNNNNNNNNNNNNNNNNNNNNNNNNAAUUUAAUUUUUUCUACUUUGCUUCUCGAGUGAAGAUAUAUAUCUCUAAGUUAAUAAUAACUUCCUAACAUAUGAAGUCUAGUUUUGAGGCAGUCAACUAAUAUGUUUGACAUAAAAAAAUAAUUCAUCAAAACAUAUAAAGACUAUGCUAGUUUUAAAUCGUUUUUGAAGAAGAUGAAGGUGUAAAAAUUAUUCAAAUCCAAAUUUAUAUAUAAGAUAUUAAUUACAUGGUGGGGACUCUGAUGCAUUAGUUUACAGGAUGCAUUAGUGUACUCCGAUGCAUUAUUAAAUUUAAAAAUUGUCAAUAAUAUUAUCGAGAAUUUAAUAAUUGUCAAUAAUAUUAUCGAUACUCUCAAGAUAGAUACGAAAGAUGAUGAACAACACUAAUUCAUUCCUACAAAUGGAAAUCCUAGCUGAACCACACCUUUGUCAACAAUUUUACGAAGAAAAAAAAAGGGGGAGAGGAAUAAAGAAAAUGGUGAGAUGUAUACAAAGAAGAUAAAAUGGGUUGGGAAUGGAUGAUGGAGAUCCACCCAAAACAUCAUCCAAAAUCCACUUCCCCAAUCCAAACCCAACCCUCCAUUUCUUCUCAUUUCAACUGAAAGAAUCCCAUUACUCACUCAUCAGUUGCUUCUUCCGCUGCAGCAAUGGCGUCUCUGAGAAACACCCUCACCUCCACUAAUCUCUUCUCCAAAUUCUCCACUUCCGCCCAUCAAUCAAACCACCAUCCCCUAACCAUCUCCUUCCCUUCUUCCUCUUCCUCCUCUAAUUUCCCCUCUCUUAACCUCCUCAACCGCCGCUCCCGCGGAGGAUUGAUCGUCGCCAUGUCUUCUCCCGUCUCCGAAAGCUACGCCACCGCCUUGCUCGAAGUCGCCCAGAACACCAACACCCUCGAGACCACCUCCGCCGACUUGGAGAAGCUGGCCACCGUCUUCGAAGACCCGGAGCUCUCCGAUUACUUCGCCAACCCCCUCAUCGACGACGACAAGAAGAAGUCCCUCGUCGAAGAGAUCGUCAAGUCCUUGUCUCUCCAGCAGCACGUCUCCAAUUUCCUCAACAUCAUCGUCGAAGGCCAGAGGGCGGAUUCCGUCACUGACAUUGUUAAGGAGUUUGAGGCUGCCUACAAUCGUUUGACCGACACCGAGCUCGCCCUGGUCAGCUCCGUCGUCAACCUCGAGUCUCAGCACUUGGCCCAGAUUGCCAAGCAGGUUCAGAAGCUGACCGGUGCUAAGAAUGUCAGGAUCAAGACUUCUCUGGAUCCUUCUUUGGUCGCUGGUUUUACUGUUCGCUAUGGCAACUCUGGUUCUAAGAUGAUUGAUAUGAGCGUCAAGAAGCAGUUGGAGGAGAUCGCUGCCCAGCUUGAAGUUGGUGAUAUUCAGCUCGCUGGUGUAUGAGCCAACUUUUUCCGUUAUUUGCUUCUCUCUAUAUUUGUAUUUUUUGUUCAUUUGGGAAGAAGAAAUACUCUCUCUAUGUUAUGUAUGUCUAAUUUUGAUGAAUGUUGAAGACCAAGUUAUUGAUCUAUGGCGUUGGUUCAAGAAUCUACCAACCAAGUUCGUAACUGUUACUGCAUACCUAAUAAUUCGUAUUUGAUGGACAACACUGAUUCUAUGAAAUAACCAGGGCGAAAAAAGUAGUAGUCUUUUCAAAUUUGUUACAAAGACAAGUACACACAUUCUCAUUCUGCUGCAAUAUUCUCGUUGCCAAGAACACUUGCAUCAGUUCCUGCAUUCUCUUCCUGAUCAACUGAAGAAUCCGAAAAAUCAAUUGGGUCGUGUGUAGCUUCAGCGUUGCCUCGGCCUUGGUUCUCUUCUGGGUUCUCCACUUGAAUUCCAACAUGCUUCACGUUUUCUUCACCUGUUGUUUCAUCAUCAACAGUCUGAUUAUGGGCACCAGAGUUCGAGUCGCUAGUAGAGUUUGAGGACUCUCCGUCUCCAGCUUCUGAGAUGAUUGGACUGGAAGUAGACGGAUCCUUACCAGAAACAGACUCAUCGUUGACCCUUUGAGGAUCGGUUGGCAGGUUGCCAGAAUCAGACUCAUCAUCGACUCUUUGAGGUUCGGUGGUGGUUUCGUCAGUUGGUAGGUUGGAUACUUCGUUAGUAGCAGAGCCUCCAGUUGUUGCAUUUCGCACCGAUGUCGAAUUUGCUAGCAAAGUAGUCUCCAUGCUAUUUUCGCCAGUUUCUGGGUUCACUGCAGCAGAUUCGUAGCUUUUUUGUUGAUGAUCAUCUGGUACCAUGGUGGAUGUGGUAUUAUCAGAGCUCGGAAGACUGAUUUUCUCAUCCUUCAGUUCACCAACUGUCUCAUCCGAAGAACUAUUUGCAGCAAUGUCACCUUGGUCCAGCUGUGAUGUCGAGUUCAGAUUUGCAGUAACACUAUUCUUGGCUAUCUCAUCUUCCUGUACAUCAGUUGUUCCAUUGGUGUUAUCCGAAAUUUCAUUACCAGAUUCAAUAGUCAGAGCAUCAUGAGCCACAGCGCUAGAAGCAUCGUCUGCUCUAUAAUUUUCCCCACGAGCCUCAUGGUCAUGAGUAUUCUGGCUUCCAUCGUCAUGAUCUGCGUCUUUGAGUGACGCUUCGUGGUCAACUUCAGCUUCUUUGCGAUCAUCUUUAUUAACUUCAUCCUCCUUUCCGUUAUCUUCGUCGGCUUUUUCUUUCUCCUCAUCUAUAGCAUCUUCCUCAACAUUUUCUGCUUCCAGUUUAUCAUGAUCAUGUUCAUCUAUCUCAUCAUCACCAUCUCCUCUGCCUUCUUCUUCACUCUCGUCAGUUUUCUUUUCCUCUUCUUGCACCUCUUCCUCAGGCUUAGUCUCAUCCUCGUCCAUUUCUUCAUCUUCCUGCUUACUAAUGUCUUCUCGCUCCUCAUCCUCAUGCUUAGUAACUUCAUGUUCUUGCUCUACCUCUUCUGCGUGUUUACUUUCUCCCCCAUUGAUGACUUCCUCCUCCACCACAGUGUCAUCGUCUUCAUCCUCCCCUGCUUUCUCAUUCUUGGCUACAUCAUCCACACGAGGUUGGAGGUCUUUCCUCCCGAACUUUGGUUUCUCAUGGUCACGUUGUCCUCUGGCAGCAACUUCGGCGUCUUUCUCAUCAAACUCCUUCUUGUCAUGAGAAUGCUUGACUUGGUAGAUUAACCAGAAACAGACGCCAAGCAACAGGCAAAUCUGCAGAACAUGUUUUACCUUGAUUCCUUUCGACCUAGAAUUUCUACUUGGAAACCGUUUAAUCAUUCUGGAUUGCUGCAAUGCACAACACUCUUCUCCUCCCUGCGUGUAGUAGUUAUAAAAGUGAAUCAACUGUAACUACUUGUACCUUUUUCAAACUAUUACCAAUUAUUACUGUUCUUUCCUCUUGUUUCGGUCAACGUAAGUGUUGGUUUUUUACUAGUUGAAAAUUCACCAAGCACCUAAGCUGAUAUCACACCCCUAUCUUAUCUUCACGAGAUAUUCAACUUCUUCAUAAAAAAAAAACAUAGAAUUGUACCAAGUUGCACAGAUAUACUACUACAUGAAUAGUGAAUACACCCAUUAUUAGGAGUAGGACACUUCACAUUGCAGCCAUCAAACACAAGAAGAAGGAGAGUGAUCUUGUUAAAGACCAGCCAGAUUAGUGAAUCCGGAAAUGCGAUGAUGUGUUCUUAGGAAACAAUAACAGCAGUUCCUUGAGGGGGAAAAAGGCUACACUUGCAACAUUAAAUGGUGGAGAAACAGUGGACAUUGAGCCUCAAAAGGGUACCUAGUUAGACUAAACAAUAACCAAGCACAGGGAAGGCAUAAAGGGCCUUCGAAUGGGUGUAAUUUAUCAGCAUGUUGCUGGAAGUAUAGUAGACAUUCAUGAAUCUAAAUCAUUAAGAUGAUUUAUAAGAACCCAAAACAAUAAGGCAAAAAAGGUAAAAGCAUCAAAUAUGGCACUUUGAGAGAAGUUAAGUUGGAAGCUUGGAAGGAAACCCUAAAUCACCGAAUCAAUUUCUCGCAAAAGUUCAGUUUGAAGCUUAGUUAAGAGCAAAAACACAAAUCGGAAAUCAGUAAAACCCAAACGCGGUGAAAGAAUUAAUAUUCUGAAACCCCCAACGACAUGCAAGGCUACAUGAAAUGAAAAGUGAUGAACUAACAAUAAGCGUCAGAUAGCCAUCCAAAGCGAGACAUUUCCAAUCUUACCUGGAAAAGAGAGAGAGAGAGUGGCGGCUGAACGAUGGAGACUGGGAAGUGAACUGAGGAGAAGAAAUCAAAGAAGGGUGUUGAGGAGGGAGCUUGAGCGGGUGAGGAUGGAGGAGGAUUAAUUAAUCUAAUAAUCGAUCGAUUGUUUUGUUGUGGAAGUAGGAAAGACCAGUUGGUUUCAUUAAAUUCUUUUCUUUCGUUUUCCUGAUGUAUGACAGUGGAGCAGGGAAAGGAAGGGAUCCGAUACUGCAGAGGAACUCGUGAAACAAAUUCACGACUCUCUCUCCCUCACUCCGUCGUCAUCUCCACCCGCUUUUUCAUCUCCCGAAUUCCUCCCCUUUUUCUUUGGGGUUGGAGGAAGAAAUUUAGGGCAUGGAGUUUUCUAUUACUUCCCAAAUUUUAUGUUUUCCUUCCAAAACUAAAUUAUCUCGUUUCUUUUAACUUUAUUUUUUUUAAAGAAUAUUUAGUAUAUUUUUAUUUCAUAAUUUUUUCUUAAGAACGUACCACCAAGAAAAAUUAAAAAUUAAAAAGUGUUGCACAACCAACCUUCAUUUUUUUAAUUCAGCUGAGAGUAUUACUUAUGGGGAUAAUUGGAAUGCUUUCAAGAACACGCUUAUGUUUGAUCUUUUCAGAUUAACCUGACAUUAAAUAAAUUUCUUGGUCCUAACCAACUUCGGAUUACCACCCUAUUGUUUGCACACAUACUCAACAUUCUUAUCCCAAUUGACACACAAUCUCAUCUCU
This 24448-nucleotide long non-coding RNA is filed under the name Linum usitatissimum (flax). RNAcentral describes it as "long non-coding RNA (LUSI_LNC003179)". The record is from RNAcentral. Lineage: Eukaryota; Viridiplantae; Streptophyta; Magnoliopsida; Malpighiales; Linaceae.